GAUGAAGAACGUAGCGAAAUGCGAUAAGUAAUGUGAAUUGCAGAAUUCAGUGAAUCAUCGAAUCUUUGAACGCACAUUGCGCCCGCCAGUAUUCUGGCGGGCAUGCCUGUCUGAGCGUCAUUUCAACCCUCAUGCCCCUAGGGCGUGGUGUUGGGGAUCGGCCAAAGCCCGCGAGGGACGGCCGGCCCCUAAGUCUAGUGGCGGACCCGUCGUGGCCUCCUCUGCGAAGUAGUGAUAUUCCGCAUCGGAGAGCGAUGAGCCCCUGCCGUUAAACCCCCAACUUUCCAAGGUUGACCUCAGAUCAGGUAGGAAUACCCGCUGAACUUAAGCAUAUCAAUAAGCGGAGGA
This 348-nucleotide unclassified non-coding RNA is filed under the name soil metagenome. RNAcentral's name for it is "partial contains 5.8S ribosomal RNA, internal transcribed spacer 2, and large subunit ribosomal RNA". The stretch from base 1 to 120 matches the Rfam family "5.8S ribosomal RNA", at positions 35 to 154 of the family's 154-position model. The record is from RNAcentral.